GGUGCUGACGCCAUUGUAGACCUCAGCCCGUCUGUACCCAGGCGCUCAUUAGAACAGCGUGUUGCUCCACACCGCCUUGUGGUGUUUGUUACCGCGCUCUUGGGGUUCGAACCGAUACAGCAGGCUUGCAGCUAUUUCAUUGGUUUAAACUUUUAUUUUUUUAUUGCAAAUGAAAAUUACUAUCAACUAUCAUUACAAAGCUGUAGAAUAUGAAGUUCGAAGGAAAACGCUGAAUCAGUAUACAAAAGCGUCUCAAUCAGACUCAUCCAUUUUGAAGCAAUUCCUCUGCCAUUUUGCCACCUCCUCUCAAAUUCAGCGACUUACCAGGAUCUUGCUCUGUCACCUAAGCUGGAGUGCA
Homo sapiens (human) is the source of this 358-nucleotide long non-coding RNA. RefSeq lists it as uncharacterized. The transcript is spliced from 3 exons. NCBI's taxonomy places the organism in Eukaryota, Metazoa, Chordata, Mammalia, Primates, Hominidae. The record is from RefSeq and is a predicted model, not a curated record.